RNAcentral lists this long non-coding RNA (295 nucleotides) under Citrus sinensis (sweet orange). Its description in RNAcentral is "long non-coding RNA (CSIN_LNC000807)". Lineage: Eukaryota; Viridiplantae; Streptophyta; Magnoliopsida; Sapindales; Rutaceae. The record is from RNAcentral.
UGGCCAUCGGAUUAAAAACAGUUUGGACGCUCAGGAUUGCGCCGCGUCAUCAGUCAACAGUCCACGGUUUGACCACGCGGAUGAACAGUAACACGGUUUGACCCGACUUUGAACAGUAACGCGGUUUGACUCGGAUGAACAGUAACGCGGUUUGGUUGAAAAUAAUCCUUUGUGAUGCAUGUACCGUACGCGAGAUUUUUCGUCCACUGAUAUGCUGCCACGUCACCAUCAACAGUGCAUAAGAAUUUUAGUCCAACAGGAUCGUGACACCUCCUCAGUCAAUGCCACAUCAUCG